GGCGUAAAGAGCUCGUAGGCGGUUUGUCGCGUCUGUCGUGAAAGUCCGGGGCUUAACCCCGGAUCUGCGGUGGGUACGGGCAGACUAGAGUGCAGUAGGGGAGACUGGAAUUCCUGGUGUAGCGGUGGAAUGCGCAGAUAUCAGGAGGAACACCGAUGGCGAAGGCAGGUCUCUGGGCUGUAACUGACGCUGAGGAGCGAAAGCAUGGGGAGCGAACAGGAUUAGAUACCCUGGUAGUCCAUGCCGUAAACGUUGGGCACUAGGUGUGGGGACCAUUCCACGGUUUCCGCGCCGCAGCUAACGCAUUAAGUGCCCCGCCUGGGGAGUACGGCCGCAAGGCUAAAACUCAAAGGAAUUGACGGGGGCCCGCACAAGCGGCGGAGCAUGCGGAUUAAUUCGAUGCGACGCGAAGAACCUUACCAAGGCUUGACAUGUUCUCGAUCGCCGUAGAGAUACGGUUUCCCCUUUGGGGCGGGAUCACAGGUGGUGCAUGGUUGUCGUCAGCUCGUGUCGUGAGAUGUUGGGUUAAGUCCCGCAACGAGCGCAACCCUCGUUCCAUGUUGCCAGCACGUAAUGGUGGGGACUCAUGGGAGACUGCCGGGGUCAACUCGGAGGAAGGUGGGGACGACGUCAAAUCAUCAUGCCCCUUAUGUCUUGGGCUUCACGCAUGCUACAAUGGCCGGUACAAUGGGUUGCGAUACUGUGAGGUGGAGCUAAUCCCAAAAAGCCGGUCUCAGUUCGGAUUGGGGUCUGCAAAUCGACCCCAUGAAGUCGGAGUCGCU
Molecule: ribosomal RNA, 782 nt
Filed under: uncultured bacterium
Lineage: Bacteria
Description: bacterial SSU rRNA
Rfam family: Bacterial small subunit ribosomal RNA
Source: RNAcentral